CCCCCCCCCCCCCCCCCAUUACGGAAAUAAUCCUGGUAAAGCGAAUGUAUAAAUCUACUAGACUUUUUAAUAUUAUAAUGAUAGUCAGAUCUAGACCAUAGACAUAAAAUAUAUGAUUUUAAGAGUUUAGACUUAUAACUCUUGAGGGAAAACUGCCUACGUCUACUACAUGUGAAAAUAUUAAAAGUCGUUUGGUCUGUAUUCAUUUCUUUUAAUACUUUGAAAAAUUAAAACAGUCAAACU
Biomphalaria pfeifferi is the source of this 243-nucleotide non-coding RNA. Lineage: Eukaryota; Metazoa; Mollusca; Gastropoda; Planorbidae. The record is from the annotation of a GenBank genome assembly.